UAAAAAAGAAAAUUAGUUUUUGAUUAAAUAAAUUUCUUUUAAUGCCAUUAUUUUUAAAUGUGCAUCAGUUACUUGUAUGUAUAUAAAGAUAUGUUGUAUACAUAGAAGUUAGAUAAUUAAUAAGAAUAAUUUUCUCUCAUCCUCUUUAUUCUCUUGGAUUCAAACUGGCUUCAGAAGGAAUUACUAAGCUUUUUCAACAAUGGAAGAUACUUCAAAUUCUUUUAAAUCCAUCAUUCCUAUUCUUGUAUUGGUUUCAUAGCCUCUCACUGCAGUGUACAUGUGUUCACUAGCUUGCUUGUUGCCACUUCCCAGUAACGCAAGUAUUUUCAGCAACUUAAUCUACAAAAGGAAAGUAGCAAAUCUAAGCAAAAGGAACAAGUAACAUGCAGAAACAAAACGGUCCUGACGUCCUGUUUGGAUAAACUUGUCCAUAAGCACUUAUAUCCAAACAUGAGCAUUAAUUAAUGUUGAAUUUAAUAGAACCUGAAUGAAGGGUGCAGGCAUUUGGUGAUAAUCAUAAGUCUUGGGCAAAUUUAAUACCUGAAUGAAGUAAUCAUAUUCUACUGAAGGGUUGGGGUCGUAUAAAAUAGUUUUCCCUUCUGAUCAUUUUAAUUAACAUGAAAGAAUUUUGAAGGAUUGGGUCAAAUUUAUGGCCAUAGCUGUCCCUCACUAUCAAUUUUAUUGUCAUACUCAACUUUUGUUGGUCUGCUGGGUUGCAAUUAAUCUGAGUAGGUUAUGGUGUAGCAGCAACUGCCUUCAUACCACUGCCAUCCUUUGCUUCCAAUUCCAAUCAUUGGCUCGGAUUAGUGUUGUUGCUAUAUAUAUGCAGUCUGCUGAAAUCGAAGCUGAUUGGCUAUCUGAGAUUGAAGCCGUGCAUCCAGAUUAGUGUUAGCAAUAGGAAGUCCUCUACAUAUCAUCAAGAAUUCCUAUACAUUGGCGUAGUUUCCUCCCAUUGCAUCAAGAAGUGCCUUCAAGUAAUUCCUAUGGACACACAAUGCCAAAAGACACCUAGAGAGAUAGAUAGAUAGAGUUGAAAGAAUAUAUAUAUAACCCAUUUGAUAAGUACCUUUUACCAGUGUUUUAAGAAAUAUUUUACUUGCAAAACAUACUUCAACAUCAUAUUCUGAAGCAUGAACAAUUCAGAAAUAUUCUC
RNAcentral lists this long non-coding RNA (1153 nucleotides) under Glycine max (soybean). RNAcentral's name for it is "long non-coding RNA (GMAX_LNC000461)". The record is from RNAcentral. Lineage: Eukaryota; Viridiplantae; Streptophyta; Magnoliopsida; Fabales; Fabaceae.